Molecule: ribosomal RNA, 298 nt
Filed under: uncultured bacterium
Lineage: Bacteria
Description: partial 16S ribosomal RNA
Rfam family: Bacterial small subunit ribosomal RNA
Source: RNAcentral
UAGGCCUAACACAUGCAAGUCGUACGAGAGUUUUUAACUCUAGUGGCGGACGGGUGAGCAACACGUGAGAAUUUGCCUUUAGGAGGGGGACAACAAUUGGAAACGAAUGCUAAUACCCCAUAUGCUUUCGAGUGAAAUGGAUUUUAUCCGCCUAGAGAGAAGCUCGCGGCUGAUUAGCUUGUUGGUAAGGUAAGAGCUUACCAAGGCGACGAUCAGUAUCUGGUUUGAGAGGACGAUCAGACACACUGGAACUGAGACACGGUCCAGACUCCUACGGGAGGCAGCAGUGGGGAAUUUU